This 127-nucleotide ribosomal RNA is filed under the name Escherichia coli. RNAcentral describes it as "partial 16S ribosomal RNA". It matches the Rfam family "Bacterial small subunit ribosomal RNA", at positions 460 to 586 of the family's 1533-position model. The record is from RNAcentral. Lineage: Bacteria; Pseudomonadati; Pseudomonadota; Gammaproteobacteria; Enterobacterales; Enterobacteriaceae.
CUUUGCUCAUUGACGUUACCCGCAGAAGAAGCACCGGCUAACUCCGUGCCAGCAGCCGCGGUAAUACGGAGGGUGCAAGCGUUAAUCGGAAUUACUGGGCGUAAAGCGCACGCAGGCGGUUUGUUAA